ACCGAGUUGAAGCGCCUGCGUGGUGUCCACACAGAUUGUCUGAUGAUAAGAAAGAGUCAAAAGCGUCUUGCGAAGCUGACAAGUGAUGUCCCCUUCGUCUAGAGGCCCAGGACACCGCCCUUUCACGGCGGUAACAGGGGUUCGAAUCCCCUAGGGGACGCCAGUAUGACUGACAGUGGGUGAAAGGCACGGUCAACGCUAACCUAAAACUGAUUAGUGAUAGUCAGGUUUAUGUUAUCUGCUCUUUAACAAUCCGGAACAAGCUGAAUAAUUUGAAACGACGGCAUAUGAGUGUGAAUUCGUAUGUUGUUCGAGUCUC
This 319-nucleotide unclassified non-coding RNA is filed under the name Dickeya fangzhongdai. RNAcentral's name for it is "partial 16S-23S ribosomal RNA intergenic spacer". The stretch from base 88 to 160 matches the Rfam family "tRNA". Lineage: Bacteria; Pseudomonadati; Pseudomonadota; Gammaproteobacteria; Enterobacterales; Pectobacteriaceae. The record is from RNAcentral.